AUACGUAGGGAGCGAGCGUUGUCCGGAAUUACUGGGUGUAAAGGGAGCGUAGGCGGGAGUGCAAGUCAGAUGUGAAAUACAUGGGCUCAACCCAUGGGCUGCAUUUGAAACUGCAUUUCUUGAGUGAAGUAGAGGUAAGCGGACUUCCUGGUGUAGCGGUGAAAUGCGUAGAUAUCAGGAGGAACACCGGUGGCGAAGGCGGCUUACUGGGCUUUUACUGACGCUGAGGCUCGAAAGCGUGGGGAGCAAACAGGAUUAGAUACCCUGGUAGUCCACGCUGUAAACGAUGAUUACUAGGUGUGGGGGGACUGACCCCUUCCGUGCCGCAGUUAACACAAUAAGUAAUCCACCUGGGGAGUACGGCCGCAAGGUUGAAACUCAAAUGAAUUGACGGG
RNAcentral lists this ribosomal RNA (395 nucleotides) under uncultured bacterium. RNAcentral's name for it is "partial 16S ribosomal RNA". It matches the Rfam family "Bacterial small subunit ribosomal RNA", at positions 523 to 917 of the family's 1533-position model. The record is from RNAcentral.